GAAAUUCCAGGAUGGAAUCUGGAACACAGCUGGUGCCCAGCCAGCUUAAGAGGUGGAGAUAAAACAAACCUGUCAGAGACCCACUCCAUUUCCAGGAUGCUCUGUAACUGGUGAUUGGACAAUACUCUGUGACCUUG
This 137-nucleotide small nucleolar RNA is filed under the name Echinops telfairi (small Madagascar hedgehog). The record is from RNAcentral. Lineage: Eukaryota; Metazoa; Chordata; Mammalia; Afrosoricida; Tenrecidae.